This 212-nucleotide long non-coding RNA is filed under the name Lathyrus oleraceus (garden pea). RNAcentral describes it as "Pisum sativum (pea) long non-coding RNA (PSAT_LNC020887)". Lineage: Eukaryota; Viridiplantae; Streptophyta; Magnoliopsida; Fabales; Fabaceae. The record is from RNAcentral.
CUACCUGUGCUUGUAUGUUUGUUUGACUUGCUUCCUGUGCAAGUUAGGUUUAGUUUAGACUAAUCCUUGUUUGCUUUCGCCCUCGUUGCGAUCCUUUCUUUCGCCCUCGUUGCGAUCCUUUCUCUCGCCCUCGUUGCGAUCGAGCCUUUUCCUUUCUCUCGCCCUCGUUGUGAUCGAGCCUUUUCCUUUCUCUCGCCCUCGUUGCGAUCGAG